CAUCAGUCGUUUAUAUAUACCCUGUAGAAUCGAAUUUGUGUGAGCACCUCUAUUGCAAAUUCGUCUCUAGGGGGAUAUAUGGAUGAUGCAAAAAGCUU
Molecule: microRNA precursor, 98 nt
Organism: Laticauda laticaudata (blue-ringed sea krait)
Lineage: Eukaryota; Metazoa; Chordata; Lepidosauria; Squamata; Elapidae
Source: Ensembl